GCCUGUUCGAGCGUUAUUUAAACCCCUCAAGCUUUGCUUGGUGUUGGGGCAUGCUAUACAGCAGUCCUUAAAAUCAGUGGCGGUACCUUUAGGCUCUAAGCGUAGUAAAUUUUCUCGCUAUAGGUUCUAGUGAAUACUCGCCAUUAACAUUUACUUUUAUGGUUAACCUCGGAUCAGGUAGGGAUACCCGCUGAACUUAA
Molecule: unclassified non-coding RNA, 200 nt
Filed under: soil metagenome
Description: partial contains internal transcribed spacer 2 and large subunit ribosomal RNA
Source: RNAcentral